UACGAAGGGGGCUAGCGUUGCUCGGAAUUACUGGGCGUAAAGCGCACGUAGGCGGCUUUCUAAGUCGGGGGUGAAAUCCUGGAGCUCAACUCCAGAACUGCCUUCGAUACUGGAGAGCUUGAGUCCGGGAGAGGUGAGUGGAAUUCCGAGUGUAGAGGUGAAAUUCGUAGAUAUCGGGAGGAACACCUGUGGCGAAAGCGGCUCACUGGACCACAACUGACGCUGAGGCGCGAAAGCUAGGGGAGCAAACAGG
RNAcentral lists this ribosomal RNA (253 nucleotides) under uncultured bacterium. RNAcentral describes it as "partial 16S ribosomal RNA". It matches the Rfam family "Bacterial small subunit ribosomal RNA", at positions 524 to 776 of the family's 1533-position model. The record is from RNAcentral.